This 1349-nucleotide ribosomal RNA is filed under the name uncultured bacterium. RNAcentral describes it as "bacterial SSU rRNA". It matches the Rfam family "Bacterial small subunit ribosomal RNA", at positions 74 to 1399 of the family's 1533-position model. The record is from RNAcentral.
CGGAGCUUGCUCCAUCGGAAAAAGAGGAGUGGCGAACGGGUGAGUAACACGUGGGUAACCUGCCCAUCAGAAGGGGAUAACACUUGGAAACAGGUGCUAAUACCGUAUAACAAUCGAAACCGCAUGGUUUUGAUUUGAAAGGCGCUUUCGGGUGUCGCUGAUGGAUGGACCCGCGGUGCAUUAGCUAGUUGGUGAGGUAACGGCUCACCAAGGCGACGAUGCAUAGCCGACCUGAGAGGGUGAUCGGCCACAUUGGGACUGAGACACGGCCCAAACUCCUACGGGAGGCAGCAGUAGGGAAUCUUCGGCAAUGGACGAAAGUCUGACCGAGCAACGCCGCGUGAGUGAAGAAGGUUUUCGGAUCGUAAAACUCUGUUGUUAGAGAAGAACAAGGAUGAGAGUAACUGUUCAUCCCUUGACGGUAUCUAACCAGAAAGCCACGGCUAACUACGUGCCAGCAGCCGCGGUAAUACGUAGGUGGCAAGCGUUGUCCGGAUUUAUUGGGCGUAAAGCGAGCGCAGGCGGUUUCUUAAGUCUGAUGUGAAAGCCCCCGGCUCAACCGGGGAGGGUCAUUGGAAACUGGGAGACUUGAGUGCAGAAGAGGAGAGUGGAAUUCCAUGUGUAGCGGUGAAAUGCGUAGAUAUAUGGAGGAACACCAGUGGCGAAGGCGGCUCUCUGGUCUGUAACUGACGCUGAGGCUCGAAAGCGUGGGGAGCAAACAGGAUUAGAUACCCUGGUAGUCCACGCCGUAAACGAUGAAAGCUAAGUGUUGGAGGGUUUUCCGCCCCUUCAGUGUUGCAGCUAACGCAAUUAAGCACUCCGCCUGGGGAGUCCGACCGCAAGGUUGAAACUCAAAGGAAUUGACGGGGGCCCGCACAAGCGGUGGAGCAUGUGGUUUAAUUCGAAAGCAACGCGAAGAACCUUACCAGGUCUUGACAUCCUUUGACCACUCUAGAGAUAGAGCUUCCCCUUCGGGGGCAAAGUGACAGGUGGUGCAUGGUUGUCGUCAGCUCGUGUCGUGAGAUGUUGGGUUAAGUCCCGCAACGAGCGCAACCCUUAUUGUUAGUUGCCAUCAUUUAGUUGGGCACUCUAGCAAGACUGCCGGUGACAAACCGGAGGAAGGUGGGGAUGACGUCAAAUCAUCAUGCCCCUUAUGACCUGGGCUACACACGUGCUACAAUGGGAAGUACAACGAGUCGCAAAGUCGCGAGGCUAAGCUAAUCUCUUAAAGCUUCUCUCAGUUCGGAUUGUAGGCUGCAACUCGCCUACAUGAAGCCGGAAUCGCUAGUAAUCGCGGAUCAGCACGCCGCGGUGAAUACGUUCCCGGGCCUUGCACUCACCGCCCGUCA